GUGGGAAGGAAGGGAGCGGAAAGGCCGAGCGCCACCCGCCCCGGGAGUCUCCAGAGCAGCGCGCGGGGCAGACCUCCUCGGGUCCUCCGGCGCUUCGGUCUCCGGAGACGCCCGGCCUCCUGAAGGGUUCGGCUUGUCCUCCUCUGGCGCUCAGCUCCCUCUGGCGGCCGGGCUGGCAGGACCUCAGCGCCCAGCCCUUCCGUCUUGUUACGUCCAGGGUCUCACUCUGUGUCUCAGGCUGGAGUACAGUGGUGCAAUUGUAGAUGGCUGCAGCCCUCGACCUCCUGGGCUCAAGUGAUCCUCCUGCCUUAGCCUCUCGAGUAGCUGGGAGUACAGAUGCACACCACCACACCCAGCCUAGAAUGAAGAAACCUGCAGUUGGGAAGCAUGAAUUUACCACCUAUUAAGAUCCCCUUUUAUUUUUCAGAAUUGUGGCUUGCAUUGUAAGAGGAGCCUGUGAAUUCAGAGGCAAGUCUGCUGAGGACCGAAUGUUCCUGUCCAUAAAAACAGAAGUCUGGCCUGGGCUCCUCUCUUGGGUGAAUUUGCAAUGCCAGAUCCUCUCUAUCAGUUUGGUUUUGUUUCUUGUAUCUCUGGGAAGGCAGGCAGACAGCACGGUCACCUGUGAAUGCAGCUACAAUUGGCUUAGCUGCCUCACUGAUAAAUGUGCCCCCAGUAAGCUACAAAGGGAUUACCAGCGUUCUCAGCAGCUAAAGGAACUGGUGAAGAUUUCCCCAGCAAAAAGUAGAAGCUCAGUGUUUCAUAGAUGAAGACUGGGGAGAUUGCAAAAGACCCAUCCAGCAGUGGUUCUCAGACCUCAGUGUGCAUCAGAAUCACCUGGAAGGCUUGUGAAAACACGUAUUGCUGGGCCACACCCCCAGAAUUUCUGGAUCAGUAAAGCUGGGAUUCUUACUUUGAGUAGCCAACUUGCAGAAUACAAUAGAAUUUUGGGAGGAGCCCCUCGAUGCCUGGCUUUACUGUUGGAGAGACAGUACAGUAUACACCAGAUGACUUAUUUGUGAACCAUGGAAACGUUUGGAAAAGGGAUCUGGAACCAAACCCACACUAUCUCCGAGGCAUGCCUGUAUAAGUUUUAUGUGACAUGGCUGCUUUCAGAAAUGAAGACCCAAAGAAACUGGGAAAACUGUAUUUUUAUGGACAGCCAUGCAGUAUGAUUGGAGGACAAAGACUAUGAUAUAAUUGUAAUAAACUGGGGGAAC
Homo sapiens (human) is the source of this 1217-nucleotide long non-coding RNA. Ensembl annotates it as long intergenic non-protein coding RNA 466. Lineage: Eukaryota; Metazoa; Chordata; Mammalia; Primates; Hominidae. The record is from Ensembl.